AACGAACGCUGGCGGCAUGCCUAAUACAUGCAAGUCGAACGAGUGGCGGACGGGUGAGUAAUGUAUGGGAAACUGCCUGAUGGAGGGGGAUAACUACUGGAAACGGUAGCUAAUACCGCAUACCAUCAGAUGUACCCAGAUGGGAUUAGCUUGUUGGUGGGGUAAAGGCUCACCAAGGCGACGAUCUCUAGCUGGUCUGAGAGGAUGAUCAGCCACACGGGAACUGAGACACGGUCCAGACUCCUACGGGAGGCAGCAGUGGGGAAUAUUGCACAAUGGGCGCAAGCCUGAUGCAGCCAUGCCGCGUGUAUGAAGAAGGCCGUAGGGUUGUAAAGUACUUUCAGCGGGGAGGCGUUACCCGCAGAAGAAGCACCGGCUAACUCCGUGCCAGCAGCCGCGGUAAUAC
RNAcentral lists this ribosomal RNA (406 nucleotides) under uncultured bacterium. RNAcentral's name for it is "partial 16S ribosomal RNA". It matches the Rfam family "Bacterial small subunit ribosomal RNA", at positions 29 to 526 of the family's 1533-position model. The record is from RNAcentral.